CUGAAACUGUUGAAUAUGGGAUGAGCAUACAGGUUACACUCAGUGUGGGAACAUGCAAUAAUUGUCCAUGUUAAUAAAAUGGUAACACAUAUUGUCAUAACGUAACAUAAAUUCCAUACGCACUGUGGCAAUCCAAGGACUUUAAUGUCCCGGACCCUAUAUGUGGGCCCCUGGCGACAAUAUAAUGGUUGCAACCCUGUAACAUGAAAUCGCAUUGUGGCAUACCAAGGACGGUGAAGUCCUGGACCAAUUAUGCUGGCCCCUAGCGAUAAAUAUUUUUACAACACAUACGGUAAACACAUAAUAUUAAAAUGGACAAAUAUUAACCACGUGCAUGUACUGAAAUAAAUCCCACACCUGGAAAUUUAACUUGAACUUGAACUUCAACUUGAAUGCUAACUUGAGUAAUACAAUUAAAAUUCAUAUCCUAGUCGCGCCGCACCUAGUCAGAUAAAUUCAAAUAAUAACAUAUAAGGGCCUAUUUGAACUUUAAAAUAAUUUAAACUUUAUGAAUUUAUUCUAUAAGAUAAUGUAGAAAUCGAGAAAGCUAUAUCAUAUUUGAUUUUUUAAAACCAAAUUGAAAGUGUAUUGGAAAUAUUCGUAGACUUUUGGCAAAAUAUCUAUUACUUAAUUUAAUUAAAAUGCAUAGAAACUGAUUUACCGAAAGAACGAGAACAAAAUAACUAAAUAUAUGUAAUCAUCCCACUAACUAUAUGAUUAAAUUCUUAAUCCAUAAGAAGAGAAUAAAUGUUNCAGAUUAAAUUUUGAAGUUGAGUCAGUGUAAAAACAGAGCAUGUUUUGAUGAUGUUUGAUUGUGAUUCUUAUGUGCCUUAUGUGUUUGUGUUGCCUAUGUGUUUGAAUGAGAUUAGACGAGGUAUGAUUGAUUUUUGACUGUCUUUAAUGUAACGAAUUAUGGAUGCUAGAACCCUAAAACAUUAAAAGAUACCCUAGGCACGUAGAAUUAGACUUUGUCUUAUGACAAUUUCUUCACGAACUUAUCGACUCUUCAUCAAUGAAGGUCCGGGCGACAGAAAGUGAAGCCGAAGAAGAAACGACUCCACGCCAGCUUUAAGAACAAUUGAGGUGGGCAUUAUUUUAUUAUUACGUAUAUAGAGAUCCCCUGCGUGUCGUAGGCCUCUUAUGCGAAUAUAUGCAUGAUAUGUUUUGACUGUUAUUUUGAUCUUAUUAUAUGCUUAUAUGUUUAAUGCUCUUUAUGAAAAUGAAAUGUUAUGAAAAUGAAAUGUUUAUGAAUGAUUGACUGCCAAAAUGUUUAUGUUUUUAUAUGUAUCCUAUCUGUGUUGGUUCGCCAACUUUAAAGGAAAUCCAAUUGGGAUCCUAUGCUAGACAAAGGUCGCUAGCUAGGGUUAACGUGUACACUCAUGGAGACCGCGAGUCGCUUGCGACCGGUCUUGGCGUCCGUGGUAAGGAGGCCUCCUUCCCGGCGCGUGACAGAAAGGACAGAUAUGGAUCAUAUAGACUGAAAAUGGGAUACGCAUCCACCUUUAUGAAAAUGAAUGAAAUGUUUUAGUAAGCGCAGGUCAUUCAAGAAAACCCCUGUGUGUUACUGUUGGCAGUUCAAUUUAUAUAUGUAUGCAUGUUGUAUUUUUGGCUUAUGUCACUGAGUAUUUUUAUACUCAGCCCUGCAUGUAUUUCUAAAUGUGCAGGUUGAGCAGGCGAUGGAAUGGAUCGGUGUUGAGCGGAUUUCCCUUUUGAUGUUUAUGUAAUGAAACCUUGAGUAUGCAUCUCCAUAUGCAUAACUCACACGUUUUUUCGCUGCAAACACUCUGACUUAUUUAUCAUUUCUACUUGAACUUAUUACUACUUCAUUUUAAUUAACUUUCAGUUGGGGUCUAGUCGUUAUGGCAGACUCAUUUGUGAAUUACCCAAGUGGUUAUAUAUAUAUACCACUAGUUUGUUAUUAAUGUUGGUUACUUAGUAAAUCCCCUUUAAUUUCCGUUUCUUAUUGUUCACCCCAAGUCAUAACCCCGGUUAACCCGUCAUUGGGAUAGUGGGCUGUGACAAUUCGUCUAAUAGAAAAGACAACGGGAACAAACCUCAGAAAAUGGGGAAUACUUCAAGAGCUCCGGCCUAACCAUCGCCCUUAAGUAAACCGGGAUUUUCUGAAGCGAAAAGGACAGUACGAAAAAAGAACCCAAGCAGAGAACUGACCAUCCCUCACAGAAAUCCGAAGCAGAGAUCUACAAAAAAAAGCUACUAAUCGAAAGAAAAACAGCAACGAAACCAAAAGAAAGAGCAAAAUUCGUCAAUAGCCAAAGAGCGCUAUCAUCAACGACUCGAAGCCGAUAACGCGAAAGCAUUAUCGCCGAGCUACCAACAAGGUCCGACCCCUCUUGUAACACCCUAAUCUAAUUAAGAAGUUAAAUAUAAAAUUUAAAUAAAUAUUUAAUGCGGAAGUCUUAAAAUAAUUUAAAACUCACUUUUAAAAUAAAUAUUUUCGAAAAUAAUUUUAAGAAAAAGAAAUCUUUAAAUAAAAUUGGUUUUUAAAGCACUUUUAAAACGAUUUAUAAGAUAUCAAAAUUUUCAAUAAUGUAUUCAAAUAUAAAACUUGAUUUUGAAUUCAUAAAUUUUAACAACUUUAUUUUCAAAGCACGACAUGAAGAUGUCAGAAAAAUAAUUAACUAAUUAAUAAAACUUUUACUAAGGAAAAACUCUAAGUAUAAAAUAAUAUCUUUUUAGCAGCGGAAAAUAUAACAAAAUAAAAUCUUUAUAUGAUUAAAAAUUAUGUAUGUAUCCAUGUAUAUAUUUUCGUAAAGGUAUAAAUUCUUAAAUAAAUAUUUGAAAUGAAUUUAAAUAUAAAUUAAACAAGUCAUAAUAUAAUAACAUUUAUUUAAACAAAUCACACACAAAUCUCAAAUAGUAUAGAAUUUCAGAGUUUACAUAAUCAAGAGAUAUCACAUGAAAUAACAUAAUAUGUUUUAGGAAACAUUUAUCUUUAAAUAGAUUCGACGCGCCCAUUCGACUCUCCACGCGCCUCCAUAUCAAUCACUGAAACUGUUGAUAUGGGAUGAGCAUACAGGGUACACUCAGUGUGGGAACAUGCAAUAAUUGUCCAUGUUAAUAAAAUGGUAACACAUAUUGUCAUAACGUAACAUAACUUCCAUACGCACUGUGGCAAUCCAAGGACUUUAAUGUCCCGGACCCUAUAUGUGGGCCCCUGGCGACAAUAUAAUGGUUGCAACCCUGUAACAUGAAAUCGCUUUGUGGCAUACCAAGGACGGUGAAGUCCUGGACCAAUUAUGCUGGCCCCUAGCGAUAAAUAUUUUUACAACACAUACGGUAAACACAUAAUAUUAAAAUGGACAAAUAUUAACCACGUG
Molecule: long non-coding RNA, 3338 nt
Filed under: Salvia miltiorrhiza (redroot sage)
Lineage: Eukaryota; Viridiplantae; Streptophyta; Magnoliopsida; Lamiales; Lamiaceae
Description: long non-coding RNA (SMIL_LNC011990)
Source: RNAcentral